CACCAUACUUGGCUAAUUUUUGUAUUUUUAGUAGAGAUGGGUUUCACCAUGUUAGCCAGGCUCAUCUCAAGCUCCUGACCUUGUGAUCUGUCCACCUCAGCCUCCCAAAGUGCUGGGAUUACAGGCGUGAGCCACCGCGCCUGGCCUUUUAUUUUUAUUUUAUUUAUUUUUUUGAGAGAGACUCUCACUGUGACACCCAGGCUGGAGUGCAAUGGUGUGAUCUCAGCUUACUGCAACCUCCGCUUCCCGGGUUCAACCGAUUCUCCUGCCUCAGCCUCCCGAGUAGCUGGGACUACAGGGGGCAAGCGCGAUGAGGAGCUGGUUCUGCCCAUCAACUCCUCUCUCAGCGUCACUCUGCACCAGGACCAGUUAAAAACCACCACGACGGCCAUCAUCAGCAAGGACUUCACCGAGGACCGGAUUUGGCUGAAUGGCCGGGAGGAGGACGUGGGGCAGCCGCGGCUCCAGGCCUGCCUGCGGGAGAGUGAGUUGGGGUCCCUGUAAGCCCAUCCCUCCCUGUUGUCAGCAGGGUCCGAGCGUCCAGAAAGUGCUUCUGCCUCUGUGCCCCUCCUGAGGCAGCAGGCGGCGUGGCUGGGAACCAGACAUGCCCGCUGGGCCGCCAGCUCCAAGGCAGUGGCCCACCUCAAUGACCAGCUGGGCUUGGGUCGAUCUGGGGUUUUCCUGGGUAAGAAACUCUCCACGAGGAGUCUGGCAGGCAGAGGCCUGGUGUUCAGCUGUGACCCCGGGCAGGUGGGCAGGAGCACGGCGGGCAGGGUGCUGACGGCUGGGCCACACGCUGUCUCAUUGUCUCUGCAGUCCGCUGCCUGGCCCAGAAGCGGAGGAACUCACGGGAUGGGGACCCGCUGCCCUCCAGCCUCAGCUUCAAGGUGCAUGUGGCAUCAGUGAACAACUUCCCCACAGCUGCGGGCCUGGCCUCCUCGGCGGCGGGCUAUGCCUGCCUAG
Molecule: small RNA, 963 nt
Filed under: Pongo abelii (Sumatran orangutan)
Lineage: Eukaryota; Metazoa; Chordata; Mammalia; Primates; Hominidae
Description: retained intron
Source: RNAcentral